UAGGGAAUAUUGGGCAAUGGAGGGAACUCUGACCCAGCCAUGCCGCGUGCAGGAUGAAGGCGUUAUGCGUUGUAAACUGCUUUUUAUAUAGGAAGAGAUAGUCCUUGCGAGGAAAGUUGACGGUACUAUAUGAAUAAGCACCGGCUAACUCCGUGCCAGCAGCCGCGGUAAUACGGAGGGUGCAAGCGUUGUCCGGAUUUAUUGGGUUUAAAGGGUGCGUAGGCGGUUUAUUAAGUCAGUGGUGAAAGACGGUCGCUCAACGAUUGCAGUGCCAUUGAUACUGGUAGACUUGAGUAUGAUUGAGGUAGCUGGAAUGGAUAGUGUAGCGGUGAAAUGCAUAGAUAUUAUCCAGAACACCAAUUGCGUAGGCAAGUUACUAAGUCAUAACUGACGCUGAGGCACGAAAGUGUGGGUAU
This 416-nucleotide ribosomal RNA is filed under the name uncultured bacterium. Its description in RNAcentral is "bacterial SSU rRNA". It matches the Rfam family "Bacterial small subunit ribosomal RNA", at positions 355 to 768 of the family's 1533-position model. The record is from RNAcentral.